This 557-nucleotide ribosomal RNA is filed under the name uncultured Aspergillus. RNAcentral describes it as "eukaryotic LSU rRNA". The stretch from base 164 to 317 matches the Rfam family "5.8S ribosomal RNA". The record is from RNAcentral. Lineage: Eukaryota; Fungi; Ascomycota; Eurotiomycetes; Eurotiales; Aspergillaceae.
AUCAUUACCGAGUGCGGGCUGCCUCCGGGCGCCCAACCUCCCACCCGUGACUACCUAACACUGUUGCUUCGGCGGGGAGCCCUCUCGGGGGCGAGCCGCCGGGGACUACUGAACUUCAUGCCUGAGAGUGAUGCAGUCUGAGUCUGAAUAUAAAAUCAGUCAAAACUUUCAACAAUGGAUCUCUUGGUUCCGGCAUCGAUGAAGAACGCAGCGAACUGCGAUAAGUAAUGUGAAUUGCAGAAUUCAGUGAAUCAUCGAGUCUUUGAACGCACAUUGCGCCCUCUGGUAUUCCGGGGGGCAUGCCUGUCCGAGCGUCAUUGCUGCCCUCAAGCACGGCUUGUGUGUUGGGCCCCCGUCCCGGUUAAGCAUCAGCCCCGGGACGGGCCCGAAAGGCAGCGGCGGCACCGUGUCCGGUCCUCGAGCGUAUGGGGCUCUGUCACCCGCUCGUGUAGGUCCGGCCGGCGGCCAGCCCGACCCUUUAACCAAUCUUUUAACCAGGUUGACCUCGGAUCAGGUAGGGAUACCCGCUGAACUUAAGCAUAUCAAUAAGCGGAGGA